This 68-nucleotide transfer RNA is filed under the name Conus betulinus. RNAcentral describes it as "tRNA-Glu". Lineage: Eukaryota; Metazoa; Mollusca; Gastropoda; Neogastropoda; Conidae. The record is from RNAcentral.
GUUCUUGGGGUGUAGCUAGCACAUCAGGUUUUCAUCCUGAAAGUAUAGAAAAUAAUUUAUCUAGAACA